This is a small nuclear RNA of Trichechus manatus latirostris (Florida manatee), 103 nucleotides long. Lineage: Eukaryota; Metazoa; Chordata; Mammalia; Sirenia; Trichechidae. The record is from RefSeq and is a predicted model, not a curated record.
GUGCUUGCUUCAGCCCACAUAUACUAAGAUUGGAAUGAUGCAGAGAUUAGUAUGGCCCCUAUACAAGGAUAGCACGCAAAUUGAUGAAGCAUUCCUUAUUUUU